Non-coding RNA from Puma concolor (puma), 256 nucleotides. The record is from RefSeq and is a predicted model, not a curated record. Lineage: Eukaryota; Metazoa; Chordata; Mammalia; Carnivora; Felidae.
GCAGUGCCGGGAGCGGAGCUCAGAGCCGAGGGGCGCCGCGUGCUGCUGGCCCGGGGGACCAUGGGCUCCAUGUUCCGGAGCGAGGAGGUCGUGCUGGUGCAACUCUUCCUGCCCACCUCCGCUGCCUAUACCUGCGUGAGCCAGCUUGGCGAGCUGGGUCUCGUGGAGUUCAGAGACCUCAAUGCCUCGGUGAGCGCCUUCCAGAGACGCUUCGUGGGGGAUGUUCGACGCUGCGAAGAGUUGGAGAAAACCUUCU